Molecule: long non-coding RNA, 1525 nt
Organism: Paramacrobiotus metropolitanus
Lineage: Eukaryota; Metazoa; Tardigrada; Eutardigrada; Parachela; Macrobiotidae
Exons: 5
Source: RefSeq, a predicted model, not a curated record
UCUCAGCAUAUUUCUUUUCUCUUCUAUUUCUAGCCCCUCGUGUUUGGGUUUCUAAAUUCAAUAUGAUCUGUGAAAUAUCGGAAAGCUUUAGAGGAGAAAGGAACUGAGAAUACCUUUAAAAAGGGACAAUAAAAUCUGUGGGCCUAUGAGUCGCUUCCCAGGACUCUACCUAUAAUUAUAUUGACAGCGCAACAACUACCCCAAGGCUUCCUGCUGAUACCAGUACAGGAGUUUUACUGGAAAGAUCGUACACAGAUCAGUUCGGAAGUCGGGAAAGUUGGUUGCAGUUGGUUGUGUCGCAUAUACACCCAUGGCUGAUUUCAUUGUUGUUCAUCAGAAAGCAAAACGGAGCUUUCAAGUCGGGACUUUCUAUAUUGCCGCACCCAGAACCCCAGUAUUCACCCGACGGUUUGAACAUCACUCCACAUAGAGGCUUAGCGCCUUCGCAUGUUGUCGUUUGGCAGUUGUCGCCGUUGGGUUGGGCACAGUCUCUCUUGCAUGUCGUGGCGUAAGUGUGACGUGGGGAGGAGGAUGUACACCACCCGGAUGCCACGAUGAUGCCCGCCUUCACCUCUAAAUACAAAGCGCCGUGUUAUUAUCUAGUCAUCUCUCUACCUGUGAUUGGUUGUACGCUAAACUCCUAGCGAUGUAUGCCGUGUACUACUGGAAGUCUAUAUAAGCUCGAUGUGUCUCUAAUAUCGGUACGGGUCAGGAAUUAGUCUCUUGAUUUCUGACAUUCUUACUUUUCUGACUUCCAUGUGUCGAGGAUUACGAUGUGUAUUGGAUUAAAGGGCAGUAUUUUUUAAAGGUUACCUAGAAGUUCGGGAUUCGAGUCUAAUCUUAGCUUUAGGGAACCGCAGUAUACUCGCGCCGCACAGGCCAUCGCCUUUAUCUAAUCCACGUAAAACACCGAGACCGGAAGUGAGAAGAAAGGAAAAGAAGAAGAGGUCCGGGUCCUGCAAACACGAGAAAUACACACACGACGGAGAAGUAUACGUUACCUGUCUGACGCUAGAUGUUAGCAGAAGCGAUAAGGGAUAUCCAUCAACCUGGCGCUACAGGGCAUGAAGAUGAUGAUGAGACCGAAAGGUCAUGGCAAAUCAAGUGGGAUCAAAUGGGUAACCUGUUACGUCACGAGAUUAUCCGAAGAUGAUAAUGCACGUCGACGAGAUAGAGGAAUGACCCCUGACAAUAGGUGAAAGGUCACCCAGAGGUCAGUUUGAACAGCCUCACUUGGAAAGAGAAGACCAGAGCAAAAGCCUGAAGUUAAUCAGAUCGAGUAACAAGACUCUACUUUUGUUGGGAUUACAACUCUUGACAUUUGUGUGGGCGACGAGCGCCUUAUAUAGCCGUUGGCACCGCAAGUGCUGGCUCUUCGUACGCGCAGGUACGGGUCUGAGAACAAUAGGGAUUUAGAAUCUAACCAAUUAGAGACAUCUAAGGACACGUGGACUAAUCACACCGCUGCAUCACUACACGUGGACAAAUGAGAACAUCAGGUCAACUAAUACACUAGAACAAUAGG